GCAGAAUUCAGUGAAUCAUCGAAUCUUUGAACGCAAAUGGCGCUCUUGGGUUCUCCCAGGAGCAUGUCUGUCUGAGUGUCUUUUUCGUUGAAUGACAUUCGCACGAUGUGGCCGUGUUAUGCACUGGCGUUUCGUGCGGCGUUGAGGUUCGCGGCCUUGCUAUUCUUAGGCCGCGUGCCUUUAAAUGGAGGAGGAAGAUGGGCUCAAGGUCCGGUGCAGUCGCAUGCGGAUUCAGUUCAUGUGCCGCAUGUGACUGCUGCACCGGGAAUAUUGUCCUCGGCCCUCUACCUCGUGACCUUUAGCACGACGCUCGUUCGUUCGUUGCUUGCCGCCAGACCUCAGAUCAGGCAAGGCUACCCGCUGAAUUUAAGCAUAUUAAUAAGCGGAGGAAAAGAAACUAACAAGGAUUCCCCCAGUAACGGCGAGUGAAGCGGGAAGAGCUCAAAUUUGAAAUCUCCGAUGCCUGCAUCGGCGAGUUGUAGUUGCGAGAAGCACUUUCUAGGCGGAAGGGCCCUGCCUAAGUUGCUUGGAACAGCACGUCGCAGAGGGUGACAACCCCGUCU
Molecule: small RNA, 563 nt
Filed under: Stylophora sp. D RA-2016
Lineage: Eukaryota; Metazoa; Cnidaria; Anthozoa; Scleractinia; Pocilloporidae
Also listed under: 1 other name
Description: eukaryotic LSU rRNA
Rfam family: Eukaryotic large subunit ribosomal RNA (bases 334-563)
Source: RNAcentral